This 1486-nucleotide ribosomal RNA is filed under the name metagenome. Its description in RNAcentral is "bacterial SSU rRNA". It matches the Rfam family "Bacterial small subunit ribosomal RNA". The record is from RNAcentral.
AGAGUUUGAUCAUGGCUCAGGAUGAACGCUAGCUACAGGCUUAACACAUGCAAGUCGAGGGGCAGCAUGGUCUUAGCUUGCUGAGGCCGAUGGCGACCGGCGCACGGGUGAGUAACACGUAUCCAACCCGCCGUCUACUCUUGGACAGCCUUCUGAAAGGAAGAUUAAUACAAGAUGGCAUCAUGAGUCCGCAUGUUCACAUGAUUAAAGGUAUUCCGGUAGACGAUGGGGAUGCGUUCCAUUAGAUAGUAGGCGGGGUAACGGCCCACCUAGUCUUCGAUGGAUAGGGGUUCUGAGAGGAAGGUCCCCCACAUUGGAACUGAGACACGGUCCAAACUCCUACGGGAGGCAGCAGUGAGGAAUAUUGGUCAAUGGGCGAGAGCCUGAACCAGCCAAGUAGCGUGAAGGAUGACUGCCCUAUGGGUUGUAAACUUCUUUUAUAAAGGAAUAAAGUCGGGUAUGCAUACCCGUUUGCAUGUACUUUAUGAAUAAGGAUCGGCUAACUCCGUGCCAGCAGCCGCGGUAAUACGGAGGAUCCGAGCGUUAUCCGGAUUUAUUGGGUUUAAAGGGAGCGUAGAUGGAUGUUUAAGUCAGUUGUGAAAGUUUGCGGCUCAACCGUAAAAUUGCAGUUGAUACUGGAUAUCUUGAGUGCAGUUGAGGCAGGCGGAAUUCGUGGUGUAGCGGUGAAAUGCUUAGAUAUCACGAAGAACUCCGAUUGCGAAGGCAGCCUGCUAAGCUGCAACUGACAUUGAGGCUCGAAAGUGUGGGUAUCAAACAGGAUUAGAUACCCUGGUAGUCCACACGGUAAACGAUGAAUACUCGCUGUUUGCGAUAUACAGCAAGCGGCCAAGCGAAAGCGUUAAGUAUUCCACCUGGGGAGUACGCCGGCAACGGUGAAACUCAAAGGAAUUGACGGGGGCCCGCACAAGCGGAGGAACAUGUGGUUUAAUUCGAUGAUACGCGAGGAACCUUACCCGGGCUUAAAUUGCAGAUGAAUUACGGUGAAAGCCGUAAGCCGCAAGGCAUCUGUGAAGGUGCUGCAUGGUUGUCGUCAGCUCGUGCCGUGAGGUGUCGGCUUAAGUGCCAUAACGAGCGCAACCCUUGUUGUCAGUUACUAACAGGUUCUGCUGAGGACUCUGACAAGACUGCCAUCGUAAGAUGUGAGGAAGGUGGGGAUGACGUCAAAUCAGCACGGCCCUUACGUCCGGGGCUACACACGUGUUACAAUGGGGGGUACAGAGGGCCGCUACCACGCGAGUGGAUGCCAAUCCCCAAAACCUUUCUCAGUUCGGACUGGAGUCUGCAACCCGACUCCACGAAGCUGGAUUCGCUAGUAAUCGCGCAUCAGCCACGGCGCGAUGAAUACGUUCCCGGGCCUUGUACACACCGCCCGUCAAGCCAUGGGAGCCGGGGGUACCUGAAGUGCGUAACCGCGAGGAGCGCCCUAGGGUAAAACUGGUGACUGGGGCUAAGUCGUAACAAGGUA